UGAGGAAUUUUCCGCAAUGGGCGAAAGCCUGACGGAGCGACGCCGCGUGUGCGAUGAAGUCUUUCGGGAUGUAAAGCACUGUCAGUGGGGAAGAUAUUGACGGUACCCACAGAGGAAGGCCCGGCUAACUACGUGCCAGCAGCCGCGGUAAUACGUAGGGGCCAAGCGUUGUCCGGAAUUAUUGGGCGUAAAGGGUGCGUAGGCGGUUUGUUAAGUCAGAUGUUAAAUCUGCAGGCUCAACCUGUAGCCGCAUCUGAUACUGACAGGCUGGAGAAUAGUAGAGGAAAGCGGAACUUUCGGUGUAGCGGUGAAAUGCGUAGAUAUCGAAAGGAACACCAGUGGCGAAGGCGGCUUUCUGGGCUAUUUCUGACGCUGAAGCACGAAAGCCAGGGGAGCAAACGGG
Molecule: ribosomal RNA, 403 nt
Filed under: uncultured bacterium
Lineage: Bacteria
Description: bacterial SSU rRNA
Rfam family: Bacterial small subunit ribosomal RNA
Source: RNAcentral